CCUCUCCAUAUGGUGAGAAUGACUGCCCGCUUCUCAUGAGAAUCAAAUAAACUUUCUCCUUAUACCUUGAGAGACCUCUGAGAUUUAUUGGAUAAAUAUAUUACAAAUGAUUAAGAAUGGUUAUAAUAGAAGCAGGGAAUGCAUGAAAGUUUGUGCAUGCUUAUGAUCAGAACAAGCCCCGGAAUGUGAAAGCUGAGGAUAGUACUUGCCUACAAGGAAUCUGAUCCUUAUUGAAAUCUACUCUGAUGCCCUUCUCAGUUGUCAAAGUGGGGGUUCUGGAUCCUUGCAAGCUAUGCAAGUGGAGCAUAAUCCCUGAUAGAUCCUUCCAACCUGGAAAAGCUUUGGGUUUGGACUAUGUGAGUGCCAUCCAACAACUAAUCCAGCUAUAUUUGGAAAGGUUGGACACCAAGUGAUGAAUUAUUCUGGUCACAAAAAUUUAAACUACCUGGCACAGGAAAGCUGUAAACUGCAUUGCCAGAGGAAAUAGUCACAUUAACAAAAUCACCAAUUCUCAGUGAGAUCAUCUAGCAUAAAAUCAUUAUAAAAUAGUAAAAGCUCUUUUGACCAAAUGUAAGUAUUUCUGUCUACUGCUGGGAUGGAAAUCUGAUGCCCUAGCAAGCAGGGAGAACUAUCAACUUCUUUUUUUAAAAAAAUUAU
This is a long non-coding RNA of Sarcophilus harrisii (Tasmanian devil), 657 nucleotides long. RefSeq lists it as uncharacterized. The transcript has 3 exons. NCBI's taxonomy places the organism in Eukaryota, Metazoa, Chordata, Mammalia, Dasyuromorphia, Dasyuridae. The record is from RefSeq and is a predicted model, not a curated record.